RNAcentral lists this ribosomal RNA (114 nucleotides) under Jaculus jaculus (lesser Egyptian jerboa). The record is from RNAcentral. Lineage: Eukaryota; Metazoa; Chordata; Mammalia; Rodentia; Dipodidae.
GAUCAGGCCAUACUACCCUAAGGAUUCCUGGUCUCAUCUGAUCUCAUAAGCUAAGCAGAGUCAAUCUUGGUGAGUACUUGGAUGGGAGAUAAAGAGAUCAAGGUGCUAAUAUCC